UACAGAGGGUGCGAGCGUUGUCCGGAAUUAUUAGGCGUAAAGAGCUCGUAGGCGGUCUGUCGCGUCGGCUGUGAAAUCCCGAGGCUCAACCUCGGGUCUGCAGUCGAUACGGGCAAACUAGAGUAUUGCAGGGGAGACUGGAAUUCCUGGUGUAGCGGUGAAAUGCGCAGAUAUCAGGAGGAACACCGGUGGCGAAGGCGGGUCUCUGGGCAAUAACUGACGCUGAGGAGCGAAAGCGUGGGGAGCGAACAGG
This 253-nucleotide ribosomal RNA is filed under the name uncultured bacterium. RNAcentral's name for it is "partial 16S ribosomal RNA". It matches the Rfam family "Bacterial small subunit ribosomal RNA", at positions 524 to 776 of the family's 1533-position model. The record is from RNAcentral.